Long non-coding RNA from Ornithorhynchus anatinus (platypus), 264 nucleotides. RefSeq lists it as uncharacterized. The record is from RefSeq and is a predicted model, not a curated record. The transcript has 3 exons. Lineage: Eukaryota; Metazoa; Chordata; Mammalia; Monotremata; Ornithorhynchidae.
GCUCCAGGCCUGUCAGGUGAGCUGCUGAUUGUCACCCCCGGCUCAAAUCAAACUAGCAUAAACUUGAGCUAGCACCCGAGAAGCAGAACUUCGGGGGCCAUUGUACUGCCAGGAAUGGAGAGAACUGCAAUCCUGCAACCGUUGGUGGUGACGGAGGAAAAGAACGCAAGACAGGAAGAAUACAUGGGCACUGAUUCGAACACGGUUCCUGACCCACACGGGGCUGACAACCUGCGCGAGGCCAAAAAUGAGAGAAAGCAACUG